RNAcentral lists this ribosomal RNA (480 nucleotides) under Pseudomonas sp. CL4.114. RNAcentral describes it as "bacterial SSU rRNA". It matches the Rfam family "Bacterial small subunit ribosomal RNA", at positions 16 to 491 of the family's 1533-position model. Lineage: Bacteria; Pseudomonadati; Pseudomonadota; Gammaproteobacteria; Pseudomonadales; Pseudomonadaceae. The record is from RNAcentral.
CCCAUGGCUCAGAUUGAACGCUGGCGGCAGGCCUAACACAUGCAAGUCGAGCGGUAGAGAGAAGCUUGCUUCUCUUGAGAGCGGCGGACGGGUGAGUAAUGCCUAGGAAUCUGCCUGGUAGUGGGGGAUAACGCUCGGAAACGGACGCUAAUACCGCAUACGUCCUACGGGAGAAAGCAGGGGACCUUCGGGCCUUGCGCUAUCAGAUGAGCCUAGGUCGGAUUAGCUAGUUGGUGAGGUAAUGGCUCACCAAGGCGACGAUCCGUAACUGGUCUGAGAGGAUGAUCAGUCACACUGGAACUGAGACACGGUCCAGACUCCUACGGGAGGCAGCAGUGGGGAAUAUUGGACAAUGGGCGAAAGCCUGAUCCAGCCAUGCCGCGUGUGUGAAGAAGGUCUUCGGAUUGUAAAGCACUUUAAGUUGGGAGGAAGGGCAUUAACCUAAUACGUUGGUGUCUUGACGUUACCGACAGAAUAAGC